Molecule: ribosomal RNA, 1584 nt
Filed under: Athene brama
Lineage: Eukaryota; Metazoa; Chordata; Aves; Strigiformes; Strigidae
Description: 16S ribosomal RNA
Rfam family: Bacterial large subunit ribosomal RNA
Source: RNAcentral
AGCCUACUCCUAGCCCCAAUAAAAACGACUAAACCACCCCACCACAUUAAACUAAAACAUUUUAUCAACCGAGUAUAGGCGAUAGAAAGGAACCUAAGGGCGCUAUAGAGAAAUGUACCGCAAGGGAAAGAUGAAAUAACAAUGAAACCUGAAGCACAAAACAGCAAAGACAAACCCUUGUACCUUUUGUAUCAUGAUUUAGCAAGAACAACCAAGCAAAGUGAGCUUAAGCUUGCCCUCCCGAAACCCGAGCGAGCUACCUGCAAGCAGCUACCCCUGAGCGAACCCGUCUCUGUUGCAAAAGAGUGGGACGACUUGCUAGUAGUGGUGAAAAUCCUACCGAGCCGGGUGAUAGCUGGUUACCUGUGAAAAGAAUCUAAGUUCCACCUUAAUCCAUUCCCUCCCGGACAACAACCCACCAUGAAAGGAUUAAGAGUACUUUAAAGGGGGUACAGCCCCUUUAAAAAAGGACACAACCUCCCCUAGAGGAUAAUACCGGUGUACACAGAACAGUGGGCCUUCAAGCAGCCAUCAAUAAAGAGUGCGUCAAAGCUCAACAUCUUGAGAUACAUAAACACCACGACUCCCUAACCCUUAACAGGUCAACCUAUCAUUAAUAUAGGAGAAUCAAUGCUAAAAUGAGUAACCCAGGGAACCCCCCCUCUGAAGCGCAAGCUUACAUCACGCCAUUGUUAACAGCCCGAAAUCAAGCCCACUCAUCAACAAGAACAACAUAUUAACUCCCCUGUUAACCCUACCAAGGAGCGCCUGCUAGAAAGAUUAAAAUCUACAAAAGGAACUAGGCAAACCCAAGGCCCGACUGUUUACCAAAAACAUAGCCUUCAGCAAGCCAAGUAUUGAAGGUGACGCCUGCCCAGUGACAAAGUUUAACGGCCGCGGUAUCCUAACCGUGCGAAGGUAGCGCAAUCAAUUGUCCCAUAAAUCGGGACCUGUAUGAACGGCCAAACGAGGUCUUGACUGUCUCUUGUAGAUAAUCAGUGAAAUUGAUCUCUCCGUGAAAAAGCAGAGAUAUAACCAUAAGACGAGAAGACCCUGUGGAACUUCAAAAUCAGCGGUCACCACCCCCCCCCCCCCCCCCCCCCCCCCACCAACCCGCAUGGGCCACUACAUCCGUGCAUGCUUGAUCGCCAUUUUUUGGUUGGGGCGACCUUGGAGUAAAAUGAACCCUCCAAACCUAAGACCAAAUCUCUUUACCAAGAACAUCACCUCAACGUGCUAACAGCAACCAGAUCCAAUAAAUUGAGCAUUGAACCAAGCUACCCCAGGGAUAACAGCGCAAUCUCCUCCAAGAGCCCAUAUCGACGAGGAGGCUUACGACCUCGAUGUUGGAUCAGGACAUCCUAAUGGUGCAGCCGCUAUUAAGGGUUCGUUUGUUCAACGAUUAACAGUCCUACGUGAUCUGAGUUCAGACCGGAGCAAUCCAGGUCGGUUUCUAUCUAUGACAGGCCCUUCCCAGUACGAAAGGACCGGAAGGACAGGGCCACUGCCACCCAGCACGCCCUCACCUUACGCAGUGAACCCAACUCAACCGCACAAAGACUUAUUUCGCCCGAGAAAAGGGCA